GAGAAAUGACGGAAUUGCACGAAUCAGACACGAAAGUUUACGAAUAACAUCGAGUCGUACGUAGCGUGAAGUAAAAUCUGACACUUAAUUUUAUGGUUAAAAUGUGUAUUACAUGUGUAUAAUAUUGUUUAUCGAUAUGUAAAACGAUAUAACAUAAUAAUUUAUAACAUACCAAAAUAGAAAAACAUAAAUUAAAAAAAUUAUAUGUUUAUAUAUUCGAACCGGCGAAAACCUAACCUUCAAGGAUAUCACAUUGGAAGUUUACCGGGUUAUUUGACAACUGUUGCAACAUAAUACAAAAGGUAUGUAUCACAAUUCUCUUUAAUUCUAAAAUUUUUCUGGAUACUACUGGAAGAAAAUAAGGAAGAAAUGGUCAAAAACAGCGGUACUGAUGGUGACUAGUCGUUCGAAGAAAUGGACAAAAAAUUUUAAUUUCUUCAGCAUGUGCGUUGGAAGUGACGGAUCAGAGCGAUAAACGUUCUUCUCGUUAUUCUCGUCAGCUUUUAGUUUCAUGUACAUGCCCAAAAGCAAAAAGCGUUUGAUUCUCUGAAACUCUAUCUCAAAUUCUCUCUUACACAGUUAACAUGCUUUUAUAGUUUGUUGCAAGUAUGAAAUUUGUUUCAAGAAAAAAAAAAAAAUAAUCAAUCUAUGCUGACUUUUCCUACAAUGUUUGAAGAAAUAGCAAUACUAUUUUAAAAAUCUACGAAGCCUUUUGUAAUUCUGAUGUAA
Apis dorsata (giant honeybee) is the source of this 729-nucleotide long non-coding RNA. RefSeq lists it as uncharacterized. NCBI's taxonomy places the organism in Eukaryota, Metazoa, Arthropoda, Insecta, Hymenoptera, Apidae. The record is from RefSeq and is a predicted model, not a curated record. The transcript has 3 exons.